This 584-nucleotide ribosomal RNA is filed under the name Hydrochus elongatus. Its description in RNAcentral is "LSU rRNA". It matches the Rfam family "Eukaryotic large subunit ribosomal RNA", at positions 683 to 1226 of the family's 3401-position model. Lineage: Eukaryota; Metazoa; Arthropoda; Insecta; Coleoptera; Hydrochidae. The record is from RNAcentral.
UGCGCGAGUCAUUGGGACUAGCGAAACCUAAAGGCGCAAUGAAAGUGAAGGUCGGCCUCGCGCUGACCGAGGGAGGAUGGGUGGCGUCCGCGCCGCCCCGCACUCCCGGGGCGUCUCGUUCUCAUCGCGAGAAGAGGCGCACCCAGAGCGUACACGCUGGGACCCGAAAGAUGGAGAACUAUGCCUGGUCAGGACGAAGUCAGGGGAAACCCUGAUGGAGGUCCGUAGCGAUUCUGACGUGCAAAUCGAUCGUCGGAACUGGGUAUAGCGGCGAAAGACUAAUCGAUCUAUCUAGUAGCUGGUUCCCUCCGAAGUUUCCCUCAGGAUAGCUGGCGCUCGCUUUGCGAGUCUCAUCCGGUAAAGCGAAUGAUUAGAGGCAUUGGGGUCGAAACGGCCUCAACCUAUUCUCAAACUUUAAAUGGGUGAGAUCUCCGGCUUGCUCGAACUUGAAGCCGCGAGAAUUUUACAAGGAUCAGAGUGCCAAGUGGGCCAUUUUUGGUAAGCAGAACUGGCGCUGUGGGAUGAACCAAACGCCGAGUUAAAGCGCCUAAAUCGACGCUUAUGGGAUACCAUGAAAGGCGUUG